GCGGACCAUGCUGGCACCUUACCUUGGACUUUCCAGCUUCCAGAACUGGGUUCAACAGGAUGGUCUUGGGAUCCUAGGCAUCAUGGAGGGCUGAAGAAACAUCAAGGGGAGCCCCAGAAAUUCACCACGGGAUCCCAGCCUCAGGCCCGCCUAGACAGUGUGCGGGGCUUCUCACCAGUAUGGAUUCUCUGAUGUAGAGUAAGCUGAGAGCCAUGACUAAAGGCCUUGCCACACUCCUUGCAUUCAUAGGGUUUUUCUCCAGUGUGAAUUCGCUGAUGUUGAGUCAACUGUGAACCACGAAUAAAGGCUUUCCCACAUU
RNAcentral lists this long non-coding RNA (319 nucleotides) under Homo sapiens (human). RNAcentral's name for it is "novel transcript, antisense to ZNF420". The record is from RNAcentral. Lineage: Eukaryota; Metazoa; Chordata; Mammalia; Primates; Hominidae.